Molecule: transfer RNA, 83 nt
Filed under: Candidatus Nanohalococcus occultus
Lineage: Archaea; Nanobdellati; Candidatus Nanohalarchaeota
Description: Candidatus Nanohaloarchaeota archaeon SVXNc tRNA-Leu
Rfam family: tRNA
About the family: Transfer RNA (tRNA) molecules are approximately 80 nucleotides in length. Their secondary structure includes four short double-helical elements and three loops (D, anti-codon, and T loops). Further hydrogen bonds mediate the characteristic L-shaped molecular structure. tRNAs have two regions of fundamental functional importance: the anti-codon, which is responsible for specific mRNA codon recognition, and the 3' end, to which the tRNAs corresponding amino acid is attached (by aminoacyl-tRNA synthetases). tRNAs cope with the degeneracy of the genetic code in two manners: having more than one tRNA (with a specific anti-codon) for a particular amino acid; and 'wobble' base-pairing, i.e. permitting non-standard base-pairing at the 3rd anti-codon position.
Source: RNAcentral
GCGAGGGUAGCCAAGUGGUCAAAGGCGCAGCGUUGAGGGCGCUGUCCCGUAGGGGUUCCAGAGUUCAAAUCUCUGCCCUCGCA